This 251-nucleotide unclassified non-coding RNA is filed under the name uncultured Pleosporales. Its description in RNAcentral is "sequence contains 5.8S rRNA gene, ITS2, 28S rRNA gene". The stretch from base 1 to 52 matches the Rfam family "5.8S ribosomal RNA", at positions 103 to 154 of the family's 154-position model. Lineage: Eukaryota; Fungi; Ascomycota; Dothideomycetes; Pleosporales. The record is from RNAcentral.
AACGCACAUUGCGCCCUUUGGUAUUCCAAAGGGCAUGCCUGUUCGAGCGUCAUUUGUACCCUCAAGCUUUUGCUUGGUGUUGGGCGUGUUUGUCUUGCAAAAGACUCGCCUUAAAACGAUUGGCAGCCGGCCUACUGGUUUCGGAGCGCAGCACAUUUUUGCGCUUUCAAUCAGCAAAAGAGGACGGCAAUCCAUCAAGUACAUUUCUCACUUUUGACCUCGGAUCAGGUAGGGAUACCCGCUGAACUUAA